This is a regulatory RNA element of [Clostridium] cellulosi, 90 nucleotides long. It matches the Rfam family "pan motif". The record is from Rfam. NCBI's taxonomy places the organism in Bacteria, Bacillati, Bacillota, Clostridia, Eubacteriales, Oscillospiraceae.
ACGACAGUAUCUUCAGAACUGUACGUAGUAUCUCACAGUAGAUCGUUUCAUUUAGAGUCUGCUUUGAUCCUUAGCGACAAAGACAGAGAU